GACGGGUGAGUAAUGUCUGGGAAACUGCCUGAUGGAGGGGGAUAACUACUGGAAACGGUAGCUAAUACCGCAUAACGUCGCAAGACCAAAGAGGGGGACCUUCGGGCCUCCUGCCAUCAGAUGUGCCCAGAUGGGAUUAGCUAGUAGGUGGGGUAACGGCUCACCUAGGCGACGAUCCCUAGCUGGUCUGAGAGGAUGACCAGCCACACUGGAACUGAGACACGGUCCAGACUCCUACGGGAGGCAGCAUG
This 251-nucleotide ribosomal RNA is filed under the name uncultured bacterium. RNAcentral's name for it is "partial 16S ribosomal RNA". It matches the Rfam family "Bacterial small subunit ribosomal RNA", at positions 100 to 353 of the family's 1533-position model. The record is from RNAcentral.